CGGGGUGAGUAAUGUCUGGGAAACUGCCUGAUGGAGGGGGAUAACUACUGGAAACGGUAGCUAAUACCGCAUAACGUCGCAAGACCAAAGAGGGGGACCUUAGGGCCUCUUGCCAUCGGAUGUGCCCAGAUGGGAUUAGCUAGUAGGUGGGGUAAAGGCUCACCUAGGCGACGAUCCCUAGCUGGUCUGAGAGGAUGACCAGCCACACUGGAACUGAGACACGGUCCAG
This 229-nucleotide ribosomal RNA is filed under the name uncultured bacterium. RNAcentral describes it as "partial 16S ribosomal RNA". It matches the Rfam family "Bacterial small subunit ribosomal RNA", at positions 104 to 334 of the family's 1533-position model. The record is from RNAcentral.